GCGCCCUUAGCUCAGUUGGUAGAGCAACUGACUCUUAAUCAGUGGGUCGAAGGUUCGAAUCCUUCAGGGCGCA
Non-coding RNA from Planctomycetes bacterium RIFCSPHIGHO2_12_39_6, 73 nucleotides. The record is from Rfam. Lineage: Bacteria; Pseudomonadati; Planctomycetota.